CGAGCGGUAGAGAUCUUUCGGGAUUUUGAGAGCGGCGUACGGGUGCGGAACACGUGUGCAACCUGCCUUUAUCUGGGGGAUAGCCUUUCGAAAGGAAGAUUAAUACCCCAUAAUAUACUGAAUGGCAUCAUUCGGUAUUGAAAACUCCGGUGGAUAGAGAUGGGCACGCGCAAGAUUAGAUAGUUGGUGAGGUAACGGCUCACCAAGUCUACGAUCUUUAGGGGGCCUGAGAGGGUGAUCCCCCACACUGGUACUGAGACACGGACCAGACUCCUACGGGAGGCAGCAGUGAGGAAUAUUGGACAAUGGGUGAGAGCCUGAUCCAGCCAUCCCGCGUGAAGGACGACGGCCCUAUGGGUUGUAAACUUCUUUUGUAUAGGGAUAAACCUACCCUCGUGAGGGUAGCUGAAGGUACUAUACGAAUAAGCACCGGCUAACUCCGUGCCAGGGGGCGCGGUAAUACGGAGGGUGCAAGCGUUAUCCGGAUUUAUUGGGUUUAAAGGGUCCGUAGGCGGAUCUGUAAGUCAGUGGUGAAAUCUCACAGCUUAACUGUGAAACUGCCAUUGAUACUGCAGGUCUUGAGUGUUGUUGAAGUAGCUGGAAUAAGUAGUGUAGCGGUGAAAUGCAUAGAUAUUACUUAGAACACCAAUUGCGAAGGCAGGUUACUAAGCAACAACUGACGCUGAUGGACGAAAGCGUGGGGAGCGAACAGGAUUAGAUACCCUGGUAGUCCACGCCGUAAACGAUGCUAACUCGUUUUUGGAAUGUAAGUUUCAGAGACUAAGCGAAAGUGAUAAGUUAGCCACCUGGGGAGUACGAACGCAAGUUUGAAACUCAAAGGAAUUGACGGGGGCCCGCACAAGCGGUGGAUUAUGUGGUUUAAUUCGAUGAUACGCGAGGAACCUUACCAAGGCUUAAAUGGGAAAUGACAGGUUUAGAAAUAGACUUUUCUUCGGACAUUUUUCAAGGUGCUGCAUGGUUGUCGUCAGCUCGUGCCGUGAGGUGUUAGGUUAAGUCCUGCAACGAGCGCAACCCCUGUCACUAGUUGCCAUCAUUAAGUUGGGGACUCUAGUGAGACUGCCUACGCAAGUAGAGAGGAAGGUGGGGAUGACGUCAAAUCAUCACGGCCCUUACGCCUUGGGCCACACACGUAAUACAAUGGCCGGUACAGAGGGCAGCUACACUGCGAAGUGAUGCAAAUCUCGAAAGCCGGUCUCAGUUCGGAUUGGAGUCUGCAACUCGACUCUAUGAAGCUGGAAUCGCUAGUAAUCGCGCAUCAGCCAUGGCGCGGUGAAUACGUUCCCGGGCCUUGUACACACCGCCCGUCAAGCCAUGGAAGUCUGGGGUACCUGAAGUCGGUGACC
RNAcentral lists this ribosomal RNA (1364 nucleotides) under Chryseobacterium sp. RBT. RNAcentral's name for it is "16S ribosomal RNA". It matches the Rfam family "Bacterial small subunit ribosomal RNA", at positions 63 to 1435 of the family's 1533-position model. The record is from RNAcentral. Lineage: Bacteria; Pseudomonadati; Bacteroidota; Flavobacteriia; Flavobacteriales; Weeksellaceae.